This is a long non-coding RNA of Neofelis nebulosa (Clouded leopard), 361 nucleotides long. RefSeq lists it as uncharacterized. The record is from RefSeq and is a predicted model, not a curated record. NCBI's taxonomy places the organism in Eukaryota, Metazoa, Chordata, Mammalia, Carnivora, Felidae. The transcript is spliced from 3 exons.
GAUCUAUUCUGUCUCCUUAGUUUGUACUGGGUGUUCAGCUCCCUGUCUCUCUAACUUCAGUUUCCUAUAUGACUCCACUUUUUCAAACAGCAUGCCUCUGCCUAUCCAUGAUGUCUCAGCCACCUUUCUCAGUGAUGAGGAUAGAACAGACGCUUAUGCCAAAGAAUUCCAGAGAAGCAGAUCCUGGUGAGAUGCCACGGUCCUCGGCAGGCUGCGCAGCAAGAGGAGCUCAGACAUAAGCCGACCUGUCCUUGUCCUGGAAGGCUGAUGAAUGAGAAAAACAAAAUCAGACAAAAGAACUGGGGGCAAAUGGUUCCUUGUAUACAACUUGAAACCGAAUCAUCAAGAAGGCAACCGACUG